Molecule: transfer RNA, 88 nt
Filed under: Massilia polaris
Lineage: Bacteria; Pseudomonadati; Pseudomonadota; Betaproteobacteria; Burkholderiales; Oxalobacteraceae
Description: tRNA-Ser
Rfam family: tRNA
About the family: Transfer RNA (tRNA) molecules are approximately 80 nucleotides in length. Their secondary structure includes four short double-helical elements and three loops (D, anti-codon, and T loops). Further hydrogen bonds mediate the characteristic L-shaped molecular structure. tRNAs have two regions of fundamental functional importance: the anti-codon, which is responsible for specific mRNA codon recognition, and the 3' end, to which the tRNAs corresponding amino acid is attached (by aminoacyl-tRNA synthetases). tRNAs cope with the degeneracy of the genetic code in two manners: having more than one tRNA (with a specific anti-codon) for a particular amino acid; and 'wobble' base-pairing, i.e. permitting non-standard base-pairing at the 3rd anti-codon position.
Source: RNAcentral
GGAAGCGUGGCCGAGAGGCCGAAGGCAAUCGGUUGCUAACCGAUAGACUCGCAAGGGUCCGCGCGUUCGAAUCGCGCCGCUUCCGCCA